AAGAAACUCGGACAACGGAGAACCUGAAACGAGGUGAUUCAUGAAACAAGAUUAUUGACUCGCGCUCUAAGCAGUCCUAAGCUGACCUUGAGCGGUGCAACUUUUACGCAAGUUAAAAUUAAAUGUUUCUUUCAUGUCGUAACGAAAUGCAAAGUUGGAACAUUAAGAAGUCAUGCCACUCGUUCAUAUGAUACUGUUUAGUUUGAUUUUCCACUGUUGUUCCCCGUACUACAUACCACAAAGACCUGAACCUCCACCGCCACCGUAUCAGCCCAUACCUUUUAAUACAUUGCAUGCUAUGUAUUUCGAUGCUACUAGGCAAGCCUACAUUCAACAUGCAUUUGCUGUAAUGAAAGUGAUGAGGGCCGAAUGGAUCAAAGCUCUGGAGAAAGUCAUCACUUUACCUUUCGCAGCUUUCAAGCUUCUGUGACAAAUGAUGCCAUUGCUUAGACAUAAUUGAGGACGAGAAAGACGCAUCAAUAAUAUUUCAUUACAUAUCAUGAACUCUGGACUAAACAGUAUGAAUUUCAUCAUGAAAUAUAUCCUGAAAUAUGUUUGUAACUUAGUACCGAUAAUAAUGUGCAGUAUAAAUGUGUAUUAUAUGUA
This is a long non-coding RNA of Stegodyphus dumicola, 606 nucleotides long. NCBI's taxonomy places the organism in Eukaryota, Metazoa, Arthropoda, Arachnida, Araneae, Eresidae. The record is from RefSeq and is a predicted model, not a curated record.